ACACGUAAGUGGCAAGCGUUGUUCGGAAUUAUUGGGCGUAAAGGGCGCGUAGGCGGUUUUACAAGUCUGGUGUGAAAGAUCUCAGCUUAACUGAGGGACCGCGCUGGAAACUGUAAGACUAGAAUCUAGGAGGGGAAGCUGGAAUUCCUGGUGUAGGGGUGAAAUCUGUAGAUAUCAGGAAGAACACCGGUGGCGAAGGCGAGCUUCUGGCCAUAGAUUGACGCUGAGGCGCGAAAGCGUGGGGAGCGAACAGGAUUAGAAACCCGGGUAGUCC
This 274-nucleotide ribosomal RNA is filed under the name uncultured bacterium. Its description in RNAcentral is "partial 16S ribosomal RNA". It matches the Rfam family "Bacterial small subunit ribosomal RNA", at positions 523 to 796 of the family's 1533-position model. The record is from RNAcentral.